UGAGUAACGCGUAAGGAACCUGCCUUUUAGAGGGGAAUAACAAUGAGAAAUCAUUGCUAAUACCGCAUAUGCCAUAGUUAUCACAUGAUAAUAGUGGGAAAGGAGCAAUUCACUAAAAGAUGGCCUUGCGUCUGAUUAGAUAGUUGGUAAGGUAACGGCUUACCAAGUCGACGAUCAGUAGCCGGACUGAGAGGUUGAACGGCCACAUUGGGACUGAGAUACGGCCCAGACUCCUACGGAAGGCAGCAG
RNAcentral lists this ribosomal RNA (249 nucleotides) under uncultured bacterium. RNAcentral's name for it is "partial 16S ribosomal RNA". It matches the Rfam family "Bacterial small subunit ribosomal RNA", at positions 107 to 354 of the family's 1533-position model. The record is from RNAcentral.